Molecule: ribosomal RNA, 253 nt
Filed under: uncultured bacterium
Lineage: Bacteria
Description: partial 16S ribosomal RNA
Rfam family: Bacterial small subunit ribosomal RNA
Source: RNAcentral
UACAGAGGUCUCAAGCGUUGUUCGGAUUCAUUGGGCGUAAAGGGUGUGUAGGUGGCGCGCUAAGUCAGGGGUGAAAUCCUGGAGCUCAACUCCAGAACUGCCUUUGAUACUGGCAAUCUCGAGUCCGGGAGAGGUGAGUGGAACUGCGAGUGUAGAGGUGAAAUUCGUAGAUAUUCGCAAGAACACCAGUGGCGAAGGCGGCUCACUGGCCCGGUACUGACGCUGAGGUGCGAAAGCGUGGGGAGCAAACAGG